UACGUAGGGGGCAAGCGUUGUCCAGAUUUAUUGGGCGUAAAGAGCUCGUAGGUGGUUCGGUAAGUCGGAUGUGAAAUCUCCAGGCUCAACCUGGAGGGGUCAUUCGAUACUGCCGUGACUAGAGGUCGGUAGGGGAGUGUGGAAUUCCUGGUGGAGCGGUGAAAUGCGCAGAUAUCAGGAGGAACACCCGUAGCGAAGGCGGCACUCUGGGCCAUAACUGACGCUGAGGAGCGAAAGCGUGGGGAGCGAACAGG
This 254-nucleotide ribosomal RNA is filed under the name uncultured bacterium. RNAcentral's name for it is "partial 16S ribosomal RNA". It matches the Rfam family "Bacterial small subunit ribosomal RNA", at positions 524 to 776 of the family's 1533-position model. The record is from RNAcentral.